Helianthus annuus (common sunflower) is the source of this 2295-nucleotide long non-coding RNA. RefSeq lists it as uncharacterized. NCBI's taxonomy places the organism in Eukaryota, Viridiplantae, Streptophyta, Magnoliopsida, Asterales, Asteraceae. The transcript has 3 exons. The record is from RefSeq and is a predicted model, not a curated record.
AAUGGUUGUAUUCACUGCAUAAAGUUUUGUUUAUUGAAAAGUAAUUGGUAAGGCUCUGUCAGCUUGUACUCUCACGUGUGAACCAGAAGCUUCCCACCUUUUUACUUUACCAUGGUUUAGGGUUUUCACUUUCUUCAGAGAGAGAAGAGAUUGUGGUCGGUCGUCCGGUCGGUCCCGUACGACUUCUACAAUGGUGGUUCUGAAGCCAGAAUUCAUUGUGCAAUCGAUUCCUUCUCACACACUUUUCAAACCCUAGGUUUAUUCACGCUAUCACAGCUCCGAUUAACCUUCACCGUUCCGAUCAUCUUCUCUGACGAAUGGAUACAUCUGCAUCUGCAACAUCUUCAUCAAACUCGCGUAGAUACCUCUUCGUUAAUUUGCGUUUCGAUCUAAAAUGCUUUGUUUGAUUUGAUACUGGUAGAUGUUUGAUUUCAUGAUUCUAUGUCAUAUGCAGAUAUUAUUUUAUGAUGAUGAACUUAGGUAUUAUUCAUUUAUGAACCAUCUGAGACAGAACCAGGGGUUUAUCUUAAUCCAUAUGAAAAUGUGAUUUGUACCAAAUGUGUAUACCGGGUUUUGUUUUCUCUAGCCAAUUUGAUUUGAAAAUGUCGAGCUAUGAUGCGUAAGCUAAGAUGAAAGGCUAUGAUGGUUGCUUGAGCCUCUGUAGUUGGCUAAGAAACUCUGUAUAUGUGGUGCUUGAUGGAAUGCUUUAAAGUUGUGAUGAUCGUUGUAAUUUGAGGGGAAAUCGAAGAUCCAGGUAGCAUCUUGGCAGGGCAAGACCCAGAUGGCAUAGUUUCACUGGGCAACUGUGUGUUUGCAGCCAUGUUGUUACCAGGGUGUUAUAUGUGUUCAUCCCUCAAUUACAUGUCCGAGCUUUUUAAGGUUGUUUUGAUAAACCAGGGGUUGUGUUUUAGGGUACAUCGAGCAUCCGGGUAGCAUGUUGGUGAGGCAACAUCCAGAUGGCAUAGUGCUCACUUUGCAACUGUGUGUUUGCAGCGAUGGCGUAACCCGUUCUUAGAUGUGUUCAUCCCUCGAUUACAUAUCCGAGCUUUCAAGGUUCCAAUGCACAAACACAUUCACAUCUCGAUAACACUUUUUUUGGCAGUUGUCAUGUAAUAUCAAAUAUUGUAUCUACUUCUGGGCUAUGAUGAUGUGUUUUAGUUAAAGAAACUGAUACUUUAGUGUUUAUUGGCGUGGCAAAUGAGGUCUUUAACCUCUUAGUGUGCAGCCAACGCGAGUAAUUUUUGUUUCAUCAACAUGUUUGAGCCUACACUGUUGCUGGUGUGCAACAUGUGAUGGACCGCUUGACUCUUUAAUUGAAGAGAACUUAUGUUCUUCUGGCACGAUGAUUUCAACUAACAGUGGGGGAAGCAACAACUCAGAUUUGUUGCUCAACUUAUUAAUUGACUGAUGUUUGCUUUGUUGUGUUUUUGUUUAAUCUUCAUUUUCUCAUGCUCUAGCGUUUCUUGGUAUGAUUUAUUGCUAUUCGAAAUGGGCAUUCUGCUGUCUUAGUUCUGGAGUAAAGGUUUUUUCCGAUUAAUGAAGAGGUGGUCGCCUAACUAGAAAUCGAGUCAAAGCUGGUUAUUUUUUAUUCAAUUACUUCUACAAAUGAAUGCAUUGUAACACCGUGGGGUAUGGUGGGGUGUGGGUUGGGGGCAUGGUGCGACACGUAGAGUAUGGGGCACCCAAGACCAAAAGCCAAUUUCAAAAGGGGUAUGGUGGGGCGUGGUUGGGGUGACGUGGAAAAAAAACCAAUUUCAAAGGACUAGUGCUCUUGGCCAACGAGGUUCCGCCAUGUCAUGUUCGUAGCCCCGCCCAACGCCCGGGCUGAAACCCCCGUCCAAGGGGCCACGCCGAAACCCAAGCCCACCCGGGGUGGUGACGUGAGCGUUUGUACCCAACCCCCGCCCCAUACCCCAUAGUCUAACAUCUUCUACUGUAGGGGGAGUUGAAACUAAAGAAUUUUGAUAUAGUAAAAGUUGGACGUAGUGGCAGAGCACUUGUAAAGAGUUAUAUAUUGACAUGAAGUAAUGGGUCUCCCGUCGCAACGUGCGGGGGACAGUCGAAUUUGUAUUUUUUGGCUGUUUGAGUUGGUAUUUAGUUAAAGGUCCUUGAAGAUUUUAUUGUUGUAAUGUCGGCUCCGUUUAUGAUAGUUUUUGCUCCUUAAACAAAAGAAAAUAAACAAGGAGGUAUAGGAUUGAAGCCUGCAUUGUUUUGAGUUUAAACUUGGUUGAUUUGAAAAGGACUGUGAAGACAUCGUUUAUGAUGGGCUCAAUUUGUCACACCCCAACCAAUGAC